Molecule: transfer RNA, 70 nt
Filed under: Rattus norvegicus (Norway rat)
Lineage: Eukaryota; Metazoa; Chordata; Mammalia; Rodentia; Muridae
Rfam family: tRNA
About the family: Transfer RNA (tRNA) molecules are approximately 80 nucleotides in length. Their secondary structure includes four short double-helical elements and three loops (D, anti-codon, and T loops).
Source: Rfam by way of RNAcentral
GGGGACAUAGCUUAACGGGUAGAGUGCUUGCCUUGCAUGCAUGAGGCCCCAGGUCCAAUUCCCAGCCCCA